Long non-coding RNA from Hippopotamus amphibius kiboko, 3609 nucleotides. RefSeq lists it as uncharacterized. The transcript is spliced from 8 exons. NCBI's taxonomy places the organism in Eukaryota, Metazoa, Chordata, Mammalia, Artiodactyla, Hippopotamidae. The record is from RefSeq and is a predicted model, not a curated record.
UAUUAGGUGUUUUAAUGUCUAUUCCUUUGCAAAAUUAAUGUUACUUGCUAUUUCCUUAAAUAAAUUAUUUUUUGGAAUACUUACAGCCAAAGCUUUGUAAGUCCAAUCAUGGACACUAGAUGGCACCAUAAGAACCGCUCCUGCACAAGUUCCUGACAGUCCAACAGCUCUUUCUCACCAUCUACAGCCUGAAGAUUUUUAGCAGAGUCUAGGGUGAAGAAAACUUAGAAAAAUUUUCUUCCUUUUCUGUGUAGAGUCUAUAAGUUUUCUUUCUAAGAGGUUGAUCCCCUACUGUGAAUAGUACGCAGAGGAAAAAGGCUCUCAUGGCAAGCGACAGCCAGCAUGGAUCAAGUCAAGAGAGUUGGUCUCAGUCAAUGCUGAUGCGUAACAGCUGGUUUUUGCAGAGAAAGUCUAUUCCCCGCCCUGGAUGCAUCUCAUCAAAUUGCUGGGAGGACCAUACAGAGUCGUGUAUGAGAACUGCCAUGUGCUGCAAUUAAAAACUGAGGUUCUUUCUACCUCUGCAGCCCUCCUUUUCCUGGGAGGCUCCUGUCUUGCACCAGCUCUUGGCCUCUGGUACCCUGGCCCCUGUCUACAUUCUUUUUCAGCUGCAAGAUCCCUCUCAAACAUGUGUAAAGGACUCUGACAUCAGAUCUAUUUUUCAGCUUUCACUCAGCUGAAACUCGCACUUCUUAGUGUCCCUCACACUAGUGGUGUUCAGCUUCUCUUCAGUAGUCCUAUAGCCACACCAUGGACCUUGUCAUCAUCUGCGCAUGAACCCCUUAAAAUUAUCAGCUUCACCUCCCAUUGUGUCAAAAGUCAUCCCUCCGUUCUUGUCCCCAUGUGCUCAUCCAUUUCAUUGUGAUUCCAGCUCCUCCACUUCUUUCUUCUCUCCCUGUUCACCAGCCCCCAACUCUCUACACCCAGAGCCCCUCUUUCUCUUCUUACCUAUGCUGUUUACUCUCCCACCAACACCUACGACUCCCUCACCCCUUAGUCCUCUGAUGCCUCCAGCCCUCAGGCCCCCGCGGGACCAGUGCAGCCCUUUGUUUGAGGCAAAGCAGAGCAUCGCGUGGAAGAGCACAGGUGUAGAAGUGAAUUAUUACUCUGACAAUAAACUGCUGUGUAACCCUGCGCACAUUACCGAUCCCUCUGAGCAUGAGCACUGGGUAUUUUAGGGGGAUGAAAACAUCUACUCGCAGGAGAAUUGAGAGGUAGUAGGUAAAAAGAGAUUUUUAAAAACACGUUUUUUAUGCUUUUGUCUUUUUCAUCUUCCACAUAUGUGACCUCCCCCUGUGAUGCAGAGGUAGCUCUCUGGAGGGCAAGUGGAUGAAUGGGUAGACUAGGAUUAUUAGAGUAAAGUGCAAAUAAGAGCCAGGGUGUAGUUUACUUCUAAAACAUGUAACUGAGAUAUAAAACUAAAGGAAAGUAGGGCUUAGCGAUUAUGCCAAAAUAUAGUUUGGAAAUAAAACGGGAGAACCCGGUAUACUCCCCUCCUAUUUCCCCACCACAACCAGAGAGGAUCAUGAGGGCCACGGAGGAGGAGCCUGAACUGGAGGAGGAGCCUCAAAGGAAACGGGCAGGGAGGGCAGAGGAGCCGGGGUUGCCCCUGUACGACCAGGCCACCCAAGAUGACUUUUCUCUUGCUCUCUGUGCAUCCCCUGCUCGACCAGUCCCUGCCUCACCUACACCUACUCACCUGACUGACCUUCCCUCUUCAGUAAAUGCCUCUGUACCUGCCCCGGGCCCCAACUAGUGACCGUUCUAAUCAUCAGAUCAGAGCAUCUCCGCCUUGCUAGCUCAUCAAAGGGGCGGUGAGGGGCGUGCUCCUCUGCCAGUUUCCCUGGUAACAGAGGAGGCAACCUGACAUCAAUCCCCCCUGUAACUGGUAACCUCUCCCUCUCCCUGGUGGUAACGAUGGCCGGCCGCCACCUCCUGCCUUCCUGCCUGCUGCCUGCUGCCGUGGUGGGGAGUCACUCCAGGACCUCAGGUCACACGGUUUUGAGAUAUGAAUGACAUACAGACUGUACAAGUUGAACAUGUCCAGCAUGAGGAUUUGACUCACACUCAUCACGAAAUGAUUAUCACGAGAGCAGGAGGAAGAACAUUCCCUUAACUGAAACAAAUAAUGGGAAAACGUCCAUGAGGGGAAGAUAUAUUUUUAGCUCAGGACUAUGAGAGUUAUAAGAUUUUUCAACUCAGGUUAAGGGAGUCAUAAAUGUGUCUGCUUGGAAUCACAUACUGAAAGUUCCAUUCACGCAGUCUUCGCCCCCGUUGUCAGUUUGCACCAGCUGCCUCUCAUCACCUAGCCCUGAGGUCCUUCCCAUGAAGUUGGUCCAACAGAGAAGCGAGCACCCAAAGGAAGUCCACGUGCAUGCUGAGUGGUGGACAAAAGCCGAGACUUGAAGAGAGUGGUAUUUUCUCCAGAGAGAAUGGGUAGGAAUAGAACUUGAACGUCCCACAUGUGGUCCACUCAUCCCUGCUAGCUUUGAACCACAUUCGUUCCACGCUGAGCUCUUGUCCGGUGCAGGCAUGGCAGGCACUUCUGGCUGUUCUGCAGGGCCUUCUGGUCCAGAGCUGGUUGAAUAUGAUAAACAUCACAGAUUGAUAUGUCACAGAGUUACAGGCUGCCCAUCCCUAUGAAAAAGUUCUUCCUUUCAAGCCUGGAUUGAUGUGGAAAUCACUGCACUGCGUAAGGAGAUGCAAGGCCAGUGGGAACAUACACAUGCCAGGUCCACAGGUUAGAGGUCUGACACAGGUUCCACUGGGCCAAAAUCAAAGCGUCGGCAGGGCCGCGUUCCUCUCUGGAGGCUCUAGGGGUGACUUCCCUCGCCUUCUCUAGCUUCCGGAGGCCGCCUACACUCUUUGGCCAUGGCUCCUUCCUGUAUCUGCUUGACAAGGUUGGACAGCACUGCUGUGAAGAUUUACCAAGAUUGGUCUGAUGGAAAGUUCUAAAAAUCCUCAAAAUAUCUUACGUCAAGGUGCUUGAUCCCUUCAAGGACAGAAGUCUCCGCCGCAUGUGCAGAUGUGUUAACAGGCCUGGCCAGGAGAGAGCUGAAAAGGGUACAACGCUCAGGUGUCCUGAAAUUACAGGCCUAGUUUACCCAAGUCUUCAAAGGCACCAGCUCUAGGGGAAAGGCCCGAAGGCGAUGUCUAGCAGCUGUCUGUUUCUGCAUUAGAGCCACAGUUGUUCCUGGCACCACGUUUGGUAAAGCAGAAUGGAACACAUGCUUCCUGAUUUUUACACACAAAUUCUCCAUCCACCACGAGCUGUAUAAACAGACACACCUUCCUCAUCAGCUUGGCAUGGGGUGUCUCUCCUUUCCAUUCUCUUGCACAAUAACUGAGUAAAUCAACUUCCGCCUCCACGCUGAGGUUCCCUGAACCAAAUCAAAAAUACGAGGUGGUGAAUUUUCCCUUUCCUGUCGCUUCCUGAACCCUCUCUGCACCUUAAAAAUAAGGAAACAUAUGCAUGAAAAUACUUACUUUUGAAUCUUCUCUGCAGAUAUCCAAUCCGCCUAAAAGAUGAAAGGAACAAUAAUAUCAAAAUUCUAUAUUGAACAGCAAGGGCAUGUUUGAAAUUUAAAGAUGACAUAGCCACAUACCUUUUCA